AAAAAGGCAAACCCUGGGUUUCCGUGUCCAACUUUGACUGUCUGUCUUAUAUGAAAUUUUUUUAGAAUUCGUAUUUUUAUUAUUGUUAGAUGAUAAAACAUGAUUAAUACUUUGUGCGUGACUUGUCUUUUUAAUUUUUUUCAUAUUUUUUUCAAAUAAGACGGACAGUCAAACGUUGGACACGUAAACCAGGGUUUGUCUUUUU
Molecule: microRNA precursor, 205 nt
Filed under: Oryza nivara
Lineage: Eukaryota; Viridiplantae; Streptophyta; Magnoliopsida; Poales; Poaceae
Description: MIR812 microRNA precursor family
Rfam family: MIR812 microRNA precursor family
Source: Rfam by way of RNAcentral